UGCAUAUCAAUAAGCGGAGGAAAAGAAACCAACAGGGAUUGCCUCAGUAACGGCGAGUGAAGCGGCAACAGCUCAAAUUUGAAAUCUGGCCGCAAGGUCCGAGUUGUAAUUUGCAGAGGAUGCUUUUGGCGAGGUGCCUUCCGAGUUCCCUGGAACGGGACGCCAUAGAGGGUGAGAGCCCCGUACGGUAGGACCACCGAGCCUCUGUAAAGCUCCUUCGACGAGUCGAGUAGUUUGGGAAUGCUGCUCUAAAUGGGAGGUGUACGUCUUCUAAAGCUAAAUACCGGCCAGAGACCGAUAGCGCACAAGUAGAGUGAUCGAAAGAUGAAAAGCACUUUGAAAAGAGGGUUAAAAAGUACGUGAAAUUGUUGAAAGGGAAGCAUUCAUGACCAGACUUGGGCUUGGUUGAACAUCCGGCGUUCUCGCCGGUGCACUCUGCCAGUCCAGGCCAGCAUCAGUUUGCCCCGGGGGAUAAAGGCGGUGGGAAUGUGGCACCCUCCGGGGUGUGUUAUAGCCCGCCGUGUAAUGCCCUGGGGCGGACUGAGGAACGCGCUUCGGCACGGAUGCUGGCGUAAUGGUCAUCAAUGACCCGUCUUGAACACGGACCA
This 608-nucleotide ribosomal RNA is filed under the name Sarocladium kiliense. RNAcentral's name for it is "partial large subunit ribosomal RNA". It matches the Rfam family "Eukaryotic large subunit ribosomal RNA", at positions 37 to 668 of the family's 3401-position model. The record is from RNAcentral. Lineage: Eukaryota; Fungi; Ascomycota; Sordariomycetes; Hypocreales; Sarocladiaceae.